GACGAACGCUGGCGGCGCGCUUAACACAUGCAAGUCGAACGGAAAGGCCCUGCUUUUGUGGGGUGCUCGAGUGGUGAACGGGUGAGUAACACGUGAGUAACCUGCCCUUGACUUUGGGAUAACUUCAGGAAACUGGGGCUAAUACCGGAUAGGAGCUCCUGCUGCAUGGUGGGGGUUGGAAAGUUUCGGCGGUUGGGGAUGGACUCGCGGCUUAUCAGCUUGUUGGUGGGGUAGUGGCUUACCAAGGCUUUGACGGGUAGCCGGCCUGAGAGGGUGACCGGCCACAUUGGGACUGAGAUACGGCCCAGACUCCUACGGGAGGCAGCAGUGGGGAAUAUUGCACAAUGGGCGGAAGCCUGAUGCAGCAACGCCGCGUGCGGGAUGACGGCCUUCGGGUUGUAAACCGCUUUCGCCUGUGACGAAGCGUGAGUGACGGUAAUGGGUAAAGAAGCACCGGCUAACUACGUG
RNAcentral lists this ribosomal RNA (468 nucleotides) under uncultured bacterium. RNAcentral describes it as "partial 16S ribosomal RNA". It matches the Rfam family "Bacterial small subunit ribosomal RNA", at positions 28 to 507 of the family's 1533-position model. The record is from RNAcentral.